ACCAGACUCCUACGGGAGGCAGCAGUGAGGAAUAUUGGUCAAUGGGCGGGAGCCUGAACCAGCCAAGUCGCGUGAGGGAAGACGGUCCUACGGAUUGUAAACCUCUUUUGCCGGGGAGCAACGGGGUCCUUGCGAGGGCCCGAUGAGAGUACCCGGAGAAAAAGCAUCGGCUAACUCCGUGCCAGCAGCCGCGGUAAUACGGAGGAUGCGAGCGUUAUCCGGAUUUAUUGGGUUUAAAGGGUGCGUAGGCGGGCUGUUAAGUCAGCGGUAAAAUUUCGGGGCUCAACCCCGUCGUGCCGUUGAAACUGGCGUUCUUGAGUGAGCGAGAAGUAUGCGGAAUGUGUGGUGUAGCGGUGAAAUGCAUAGAUAUUGCGCAGAACUCCGAUUGCGAAGGCAGCCUACCGGCUCCUGUCUGACGCUGAGGCACGAAAGCGUGGGUAUCGAACAGGAUUAGAUACCCCUGUAGAC
RNAcentral lists this ribosomal RNA (468 nucleotides) under uncultured bacterium. RNAcentral's name for it is "bacterial SSU rRNA". It matches the Rfam family "Bacterial small subunit ribosomal RNA", at positions 330 to 795 of the family's 1533-position model. The record is from RNAcentral.